CGCCUUGCCAGCCCGCUCAGAAACUAAAGGAAUUGACGGGGGCCCCGCACAAGCGGUGGAGCAUGUGGUUUAAUUCGAUGAUACGCGAGGAACCUUACCUGGGCUCAAAUGUAUGUUGACGUAUUCUGAAAGGGAUACUUCUUCGGACAAUAUACAAGGUGCUGCAUGGUUGUCGUCAGCUCGUGCCGUGAGGUGUCGGGUUAAGUCCCAUAACGAGCGCAACCCCUAUCAUUAGUUGCCAUCAGGUCAAGCUGGGGACUCUAAUGAAACUGCCUACGCAAGUAGUGAGGAAGGUGGGGAUGACGUCAAAUCAGCACGGCCCUUACGUCCAGGGCUACACACGUGCUACAAUGGUCGGUACAAAGGGUUGCCAAGCCGCGAGGUGGAGCUAAUCCCAUAAAACCGAUCGUAGUCCGGAUCGCAGUCUGCAACUCGACUGCGUGAAGUCGGAAUCGCUAGUAAUCGUGAAUCAGAAUGUCACGGUGAAUACGUUCCCGGGCCUU
RNAcentral lists this ribosomal RNA (503 nucleotides) under uncultured Sphingobacteriales bacterium. Its description in RNAcentral is "bacterial SSU rRNA". It matches the Rfam family "Bacterial small subunit ribosomal RNA", at positions 903 to 1382 of the family's 1533-position model. The record is from RNAcentral. Lineage: Bacteria; Pseudomonadati; Bacteroidota; Sphingobacteriia; Sphingobacteriales.